RNAcentral lists this transfer RNA (71 nucleotides) under Johnius amblycephalus (bearded croaker). RNAcentral's name for it is "tRNA-Gln". It matches the Rfam family "tRNA". Rfam says of the family: Transfer RNA (tRNA) molecules are approximately 80 nucleotides in length. Their secondary structure includes four short double-helical elements and three loops (D, anti-codon, and T loops). Further hydrogen bonds mediate the characteristic L-shaped molecular structure. tRNAs have two regions of fundamental functional importance: the anti-codon, which is responsible for specific mRNA codon recognition, and the 3' end, to which the tRNAs corresponding amino acid is attached (by aminoacyl-tRNA synthetases). tRNAs cope with the degeneracy of the genetic code in two manners: having more than one tRNA (with a specific anti-codon) for a particular amino acid; and 'wobble' base-pairing, i.e. permitting non-standard base-pairing at the 3rd anti-codon position. The record is from RNAcentral. Lineage: Eukaryota; Metazoa; Chordata; Actinopteri; Sciaenidae.
UAGAAAAUGGUGUAGUGGAAGCACUGAGAGUUUUGAUCUCUCUGGACGGGGUUCGAGUCCCCCUUUUCUAA